AUUAAAGACCCUUGGAUGUUAAUUUGCAUAUAUCUUCCAGGGAAAAACUCUUUAAAAAAAGUUUAUUAGAGAUAAUUUUGCUUGACACAUUGUGUUGUCACAUGGAAGUUUAAAGAAUCUGGAAACUUGUCAAAGUUCCAAAUUUACUCCCUUACCUUCUGCUACUUUCUAUUUUUAAUCUGAAUGUAAGAAAUAGAGACGUUAUCUUACUGUGGUUUUGUUCUCGUUGAGUUAUGAAGAAAUUGUUGUUUGGGGAGAUGAGGAUUAUGUUAAGGUGAAAAAUAUUUAUGAAAAUACAAGUCAUAAUUGCACAUUCUCUUGGCUUAAGAUAGAGUUUCCAUAGCCCAUCAGGCUAAUAAUUUGAGCAUAUUGCUGUACAACUCUAAUAGCAAACAAAUGAGCUCUACACUCACUGAAUACUACUAGUGAUGUUUUAUACACAUCACACUUACUUCUUUCUGUACUUUAAAUGCAAAUGAUUGUCAUUUUUUUCAUACCAGAGGGAUACUGCUUUAUAAUCUGCAUUGGAAUUUUAUUCUUACUUUACUACACCAGAAAGCAGUAAACUUUAUUCUAACUUUAUCUUUCUUAGUUCCUCUUCAAAGCUUUGAAAUGUUACGUUUCUGAAGGAAAGUUCAUUUUUGUGUUAUUCAUAUGUAUGAACCUGUGAACCAUUUUGUUUGUUUUCUGUAUAGAUAACCAUGAUUAUAUGUGGACACUUUGGCAGAGAGGGACAAGGAGCAACUAAUUGGUUAUCUCUGCUAAAUCUUUUUUUUCCCCCCACUUUUUCCAACAUUUUAACAUCAUCUAUGUUUAUAAGGGAUAUUGAUCUGUAGUUUUCUUGGGAUGGUUUUUGUCUGGUUUUGAUAUUAAAGUGACUCUGGCUUCACUCAAUGAAUUGGAAAUCGUUUUCUCAUUUUAUUUUUGUCUUCCAAGUCAAUUUCUCCUCCUCCUCCUUUUCUUCUUCUUCUUCAUCAUCAUCAUCAUCAUCACUGAAGCUAUCAGGAAUGGAGUUUUUGUGUGAGAACAUUAUUAAUUACUACUUCACUUUUUUUAAUUUACAUUGGAGUAUUUAGAUUUUCUGUUUUGUCUUCAUUCAAUUUGAUAGUUUCUACCCCUCAUAAAUUUGUCUAUUUCAUUUAAGAUGUUACAUAUAAUAGUGUUAAACAUUUGUAAUAUUC
This 1181-nucleotide long non-coding RNA is filed under the name Marmota monax (woodchuck). Lineage: Eukaryota; Metazoa; Chordata; Mammalia; Rodentia; Sciuridae. The record is from RNAcentral.